Molecule: ribosomal RNA, 464 nt
Filed under: uncultured bacterium
Lineage: Bacteria
Description: bacterial SSU rRNA
Rfam family: Bacterial small subunit ribosomal RNA
Source: RNAcentral
AGUCCUACGGGGGCAGCAGUGGGGAAUAUUGCACAAUGGGCGCAAGCCUGAUGCAGCCAUGCCGCGUGUAUGAAGAAGGCCUUCGGGUUGUAAAGUACUUUCAGCAGUGAGGAAGGUGGGUAUGUUAAUAGCAUACUCAUUUGACGUUAGCUGCAGAAGAAGCACCGGCUAACUCCGUGCCAGCAGCCGCGGUAAUACGGAGGGUGCGAGCGUUAAUCGGAAUUACUGGGCGUAAAGCGCAUGCAGGUGGUUUGUUAAGUCAGAUGUGAAAGCCCGGGGCUCAACCUCGGAAUUGCAUUUGAAACUGGCAAACUAGAGUACUGUAGAGGGGGUAGAAUUUCAGGUGUAGCGGUGAAAUGCGUAGAGAUCUGAAGGAAUACCGGUGGCGAAGGCGGCCCCCUGGACAGAUACUGACACUCAGAUGCGAAAGCGUGGGGAGCAAACAGGAUUAGAUACCCUGGUAG